Molecule: long non-coding RNA, 390 nt
Filed under: Ornithorhynchus anatinus (platypus)
Lineage: Eukaryota; Metazoa; Chordata; Mammalia; Monotremata; Ornithorhynchidae
Description: lncRNA (ENSOANG00000044961.1)
Source: RNAcentral
CUAAGGGCCGGGGUAGAUGUGAUGCGGUGACACUUCCCUCAGAUCCCUGGCUCUCCACAGGGCCCGACGGACCAGGUGCCAGGCCGCCCCUCGGAUCAAAUGAGGGGGAGAAGGGUACACGCCUGCCGAAGGUUUGUGAUAAUGAAAUCGAGAAGCUUUUGGUUCUUUCCUGUGCUGUGUGGGGUCUUUCUGUGGCCCACCCUGGGGCAGAUGGAUUCAGACAGGAGCAGACGCCCUCUUUUAGAAGCAAGAAGGCGGCAACAAGAGGAAUCAAGGAGCUUUGAAGUCACCAGAAGAAAAGGUAGGAAAAUAUUGGUGUUUUUUGCCUCUGUCUGUCACUGUUGCAAAAGCUUGUGGCGACAAAAUGAACUUAAGACUUUCCAAGCUGCC